UGAGUAACAUGUCAGCUAUCAGGCUUUGUAGUAGCAUUUUGGAUUAGAUUUCCUCUUAUAAACGAACAUAACAUCAAGAUCAAGAGUGUUAAGUAUGAAAUAGGAAAGUAACUUUUGAGUAUUAGAAAUGGGAGAGACCAUUUGUAAAUCCCUAUCAUCUGUAUUUGGUCUUACUAAAAUGUAAACUCUAGUUUUAUUAUCUUUCUUUGAAAACAAAAAUUACGAAACUUUGCGCAAAAUGUAAAAGCACAGAAUUGCCUAGUAUAGUUUAUAGUAUGUAUCCAGCUGCUGUUUUUCUUAGGGGUAAAAUUCAAGGGCAAAGUCCAAAAUACAUAUGGCUGUUUGUUCACCUUCUGCUAUAAUUCUAGAAACAAGAGUAGAAAGAUAGAAUACAUGAAAAAGUACAGUUUUCUAAAAGCAAUGGAAAUAGAUAUGUAUUCAUGAUUGAAACAAAAAAAAUAUACCAUGUUUAUUAAAAACAGAUAAGUAACAAAUAGAA
Molecule: long non-coding RNA, 499 nt
Organism: Candoia aspera
Lineage: Eukaryota; Metazoa; Chordata; Lepidosauria; Squamata; Candoiidae
Exons: 2
Source: RefSeq, a predicted model, not a curated record